RNAcentral lists this ribosomal RNA (419 nucleotides) under uncultured bacterium. RNAcentral's name for it is "bacterial SSU rRNA". It matches the Rfam family "Bacterial small subunit ribosomal RNA", at positions 355 to 774 of the family's 1533-position model. The record is from RNAcentral.
UGCGGAAUAUUGCACAAUGGGCGCAAGCCUGAUGCAGCGACGCCGCGUGUGGGAUGAAGGGGCUACGCCUCGUAAACCACUGUAGCCCGGGACGAAAAACGCCUUAGAGGCGUUAGACGGUACCGGGAAAGUAAGGGUCGGCUAACUACGUUCCAGCAGCCGCGGUAAUACGUAGGACCCAAGCGUUGUCCGGCUUUACUGGGCGUAAAGGGUGCGCAGGCGGAUGGGUAAGUCAGGGGUGAAAGUCUGCAGCUUAACUGUAGAAUUGACGUUGAUACUGGUCAUCUUGAGUGUGGGAGAGGUUGAUGGAAUUCCAAGUGUAGCAGUGAAAUGCGUAGAUAACUGGAAGAACACCAGUGGCGAAGGCGGUCAACUGACCCAUAGCUGACGCUCAUGCACGAAAGCGUGGGGAGCAAACA